Molecule: ribosomal RNA, 510 nt
Filed under: bacterium EP1.36
Lineage: Bacteria
Description: bacterial SSU rRNA
Rfam family: Bacterial small subunit ribosomal RNA
Source: RNAcentral
AUUAGUGGCGAACGGGUGAGUAACACGUGAGUAACCUGCCCCUGACUUCGGGAUAAGCGCUGGAAACGGCGUCUAAUACCGGAUACGACCUACCUCUGCAUGGGGUGUGGGUGGAAAGCUUUAUGCGGUUGGGGAUGGGCUCGCGGCCUAUCAGCUUGUUGGUGGGGUGAAGGCCUACCAAGGCGACGACGGGUAGCCGGCCUGAGAGGGUGUCCGGCCACACUGGGACUGAGACACGGCCCAGACUCCUACGGGAGGCAGCAGUGGGGAAUAUUGCACAAUGGGCGCAAGCCUGAUGCAGCGACGCCGCGUGAGGGAUGACGGCCUUCGGGUUGUAAACCUCUUUCAGUAGGGAACAAGCCUUCGGGUGAGGGUACCUGCAGAAGAAGCGCCGGCUAACUACGUGCCAGCAGCCGCGGUAAUACGUAGGGCGCAAGCGUUGUCCGGAAUUAUUGGGCGUAAAGAGCUCGUAGGCGGCUUGUCGCGUCUGCUGUGAAAACCCGGGGCUCA